UACAGAGGUCCCGAGCGUUGUUCGGAUUUACUGGGCGUAAAGGGUGCGUAGGUGGUGAGGUAAGUCUGAUGUGAAAUCUCCGAGCUUAACUCGGAAAUGGCAUUGGAAACUACCUUGCUAGAGGGUUGGAGGGGGGACUGGAAUACUUGGUGUAGCAGUGAAAUGCGUAGAUAUCAAGUGGAACACCAGUGGCGAAGGCGAGUCCCUGGACAACUCCUGACACUGAGGCACGAAAGCUAGGGGAGCAAACAGG
RNAcentral lists this ribosomal RNA (253 nucleotides) under uncultured bacterium. RNAcentral describes it as "partial 16S ribosomal RNA". It matches the Rfam family "Bacterial small subunit ribosomal RNA", at positions 524 to 776 of the family's 1533-position model. The record is from RNAcentral.